GCCCCGCUAGCUUAAUGGUCGAGCAUCGGACUUCUAAUCCGAAGGUUGCGGGUUCGAGCCCCGCGUGGGGUU
Non-coding RNA from Trichocladium antarcticum, 72 nucleotides. NCBI's taxonomy places the organism in Eukaryota, Fungi, Ascomycota, Sordariomycetes, Sordariales, Chaetomiaceae. The record is from the annotation of a GenBank genome assembly.